Long non-coding RNA from Rhipicephalus sanguineus (brown dog tick), 264 nucleotides. RefSeq lists it as uncharacterized. The transcript is spliced from 4 exons. The record is from RefSeq and is a predicted model, not a curated record. NCBI's taxonomy places the organism in Eukaryota, Metazoa, Arthropoda, Arachnida, Ixodida, Ixodidae.
GCAUCACAGGCGCCCCUCCUGGAAAUUUUGUUCCUCACCAGUGAAGACAUGAAAGUUCGUCCGGAUUCAAUUCAAGAGACGGUUAAACAGAUGAACGAAAAGUUUUCUGCUGACGUGAAUGAGUUAAAGGAACAGAAGACGUGGUCACUGGGUGCCAUCAACCACAUUUACGGAGAGCUGGCCAAGGUCGAGCAUUAAUUCCGCGAGGCUGUGCGAGACUAUUUUGCUGCACGAGACGAAACCUAAACUGCCAACGGAUCUCAA